UACGUAGGAGGCAAGCGUUGUCCGGAAUACUGGGCGUAAAGCGCGUGUAGGUGGUGGGACAAGUCUGCUGUGAAAGCGCCUGGCUUAACCGGGCGAGGUCGGCGGAAACUGUCCGACUAGAGGACGGUAGAGGGGGGUGGAAUUCCCGGUGUAGCGGUGAAAUGCGCAGAUAUCGGGAGGAACACCAAUUGCGAAGGCAGCUCGCUGGGACGUUACUGACGCUGAGACGCGAAAGCGUGGGGAGCAAACAGGG
RNAcentral lists this ribosomal RNA (253 nucleotides) under uncultured bacterium. RNAcentral's name for it is "partial 16S ribosomal RNA". It matches the Rfam family "Bacterial small subunit ribosomal RNA", at positions 524 to 777 of the family's 1533-position model. The record is from RNAcentral.